UAGUUAAUAUCUUGAAACUCAUAGAAUUUGGCGGUAUUUUAAUCUAUUUAGAGGAACCUGUUCCGUAAUUGAUAGUUCACGAGUUAGGUUACUUAAUUUUAUGGGUUUGUAUACCGCCGUCAUCAGAAUAUUUUAUUAGAAUAUUUUCUUAAAAUUGAAUUAAAUUGUAUGUCAGGUCAAGGUGCAGUUUAUAAUUAAGUGGAGAUGGGUUACAAUAAAAUUAUUUAUAACGGAGUUUUAUUUUGGUAAAAUGGGGAAGGUGGAUUUAAUAGUAAUUGUAUAUAAAUUUUUAUGGUGACUUUAGCUCUAAAAUAUGUACAUAUCGCCCGUCACUCUCAUUAUUAAAUGAGAUAAGUCRUAACAGAGUAGGUGUACUGGAAAGUGUAUCUGGAAUGU
RNAcentral lists this ribosomal RNA (396 nucleotides) under Gryllacrididae sp. RCP-2008. RNAcentral's name for it is "partial 12S ribosomal RNA". Lineage: Eukaryota; Metazoa; Arthropoda; Insecta; Orthoptera; Gryllacrididae. The record is from RNAcentral.